CCUACGGGAGGCAGCAGUAGGGAAUAUUGCACAAUGGGGGAAACCCUGAAGCAGCAACGCCGCGUGGAGGAUGAAGGUUUUCGGAUUGUAAACUCCUUUUGUUAGAGAAGAUAAUGACGGUAUCUAACGAAUAAGCACCGGCUAACUCCGUGCCAGCAGCCGCGGUAAUACGGAGGGUGCAAGCGUUACCCGGAAUCACUGGGCGUAAAGAGCGCGUAGGCGGGAUAGCAAGUCAGAUGUGAAAUCCUAUGGCUUAACCAUAGAACUGCAUUUGAAACUGUUAUUCUAGAGUGUGGGAGAGGUAGGUGGAAUUCUUGGUGUAGGGGUAAAAUCCGUAGAGAUCAAGAGGAAUACUCAUUGCGAAGGCGACCUGCUAGAACGUAACUGACGCUGAUGCGCGAAAGCGUGGGGAGCAAACAGGAUUAGAUACCCCGGUAGUC
This 440-nucleotide ribosomal RNA is filed under the name uncultured bacterium. RNAcentral's name for it is "partial 16S ribosomal RNA". It matches the Rfam family "Bacterial small subunit ribosomal RNA", at positions 338 to 795 of the family's 1533-position model. The record is from RNAcentral.